This 395-nucleotide long non-coding RNA is filed under the name Setaria viridis. Its description in RNAcentral is "long non-coding RNA (SVIR_LNC003467)". The record is from RNAcentral. Lineage: Eukaryota; Viridiplantae; Streptophyta; Magnoliopsida; Poales; Poaceae.
CAUCACGUUCUUUUAACAACCGCAACUCGUACUGGGUGUAAGAAAAACAAUUGUCCAUACGACGAAUGCCUUCUACAUCAUGCACGGUUGCGGUGUCAAAUUGCGGUCCAUCCUCUUCAUUUUCUACCCCGACGUCCUCAUAUUCAUGCCCACCACUCUCAAAUAGUGAUUCCUCCUCUACCUCCACACCUACUACCCCAUCUUCCUCCAAUUCACAAUCUUCGGAACCCAUAGAGACAUUAUCAACAUCUAUAUUUGCUUCAUCCCUCUCAAAAAUGUUAUUGGGAAAAUCAUCAUUGGCAAUAGCCAAGUCAAAAUCACGUUCUGUUUCACCUAACACGUGAUGCAACAUUUCUGACUCCUGGGUACCAUUAUGGUUCACUACCGCCACUUCC